UCCCCUGGAAGAGAGGUCACAUUUCCAUCAGGGGAAGGGAAGGGAAGGGAAAUUAAGGGAUGGAGGGAGCCAGGAGGCAGGGAGGGACUGUGAGAGUCUUGGGAUAGAGGAGAGGCAGCAAGGAAAGUGAGGACAAGGCAAGGAGGACAGGGUAGGGACAGGAGAGGGGAGAGGGCAGAUGUUAGAGAAAGGAGUCUUGGGGUGCCCACCUCUGAGGAUCCACUCAGGUGACAGCUACCCUGACGCUGGAGAACAUGAAUGGAACAAUAAAGGCUUCUGUUUUAGCAUCAUCUCCAGGAUCCAGCAGUCUUCUGGGAAAGGCAGAAGGUCAUCAAUCAAGUGCUAUCAGUGCUGGACUAGAAUCCCGACAGACACUGGAAGCACUCCAAAAGUGGUGCUGUACUACACAGGAAAGAAGAGGGAAGAAAAGACCAACCUGAAGAGAAUCCCGUGCUUCAGUUCCCACCUCCUUAGUGCCCAGUGGAGGAAGCUCAGACCUCCAGGAACCUUGUGCUGCAGGACCCCAGGAGCUGUGCUCAAGACGACUCCAGGAGCUGUGCAGAAGAUGACAUCAGAAACUGUGCUGAAGACUGCAAAGAGUAGUCAGCUCAGCAGUGA
Molecule: long non-coding RNA, 618 nt
Filed under: Chinchilla lanigera (long-tailed chinchilla)
Lineage: Eukaryota; Metazoa; Chordata; Mammalia; Rodentia; Chinchillidae
Description: lncRNA (ENSCLAG00000028017.1)
Source: RNAcentral